Long non-coding RNA from Zophobas morio, 1067 nucleotides. RefSeq lists it as uncharacterized. The transcript is spliced from 3 exons. Lineage: Eukaryota; Metazoa; Arthropoda; Insecta; Coleoptera; Tenebrionidae. The record is from RefSeq and is a predicted model, not a curated record.
GAGGAAGGAAUAUAAUGGAGGGAGUGCGCCGUAUCUCGGCAAUGUAAAUUCUUGGCACCAGUGCAAGCACCUUUUAUUACUCUUUUCAAUUAGCGCGCCCUUCACCGCGCAUGCUUACUUUAAUAAUUUCAUCAGCCAGCACUGACCAGUGUCGUACGAUUCUGUUUUUGUCAUUUUCGCUUUUAACCUCGUGUUUAGUGUGAACGUUUUGUUUUGAAUUUGCGAUAAGCGUUUCAUGUUUAUUUAAAAACUUAAAAUGGUUAGUUGCAAAUUGUGUAAAGUUACGAGUGGCUCCAGGUCAACAAUUGGUAGAGAAAAAAUAACGUUUCACAGGUGUCCCCAGAAACCUGAAUUAAAGAAACUGUGGACAGACUUCCUUUAUCUUCACCUAGGAAAUUCUGUGUCUGUGAACAACUUUUUCCUGUAUUCAUUUCAUUUUGAAGAAAAGUGUUUUGAUAGAACAUCAGCCCAGAAAGUAGUUUUAAGACCACAUUCAGUACCAACUAUUUCUUAUACUUAUGAAGAAAGGAUUACCAAUGUAGUGACCUUUAGAGGCAAUGAAACGCAUCACACAGAAGUUUGUGACGCACCUUCGGUAGAGCCUCAACAGAAUAUAGAAGAUGAAUUGUCUAAUAAAGUUUUUGAAAUUACAAAGAAACUUGAAAAUUUAACAACAAAAACAUGUGCAAACGUUUUACUGAAACAACAAAUUAACAACCUGAAGACAUUAGUGUCACAACAACAAUGCACUAUUAAAACGUUAAAACGCAGAACCUCAAAACAGCAACGCAAAAUUUGUAAUCUGAAAGAUGUUGUUUCAAGUUUAAGGAAGAAAAUCAACUAUUAUGAAAACAACAGUGUGGAUGUUAAUAAAUUUCAGGAAAAUACAGAACUGUUGAGCAGAAUGUGGGCUAAAAUUAACAACAAACCAUUGCCAAAUCAAUAUGGGCCAGAAAUAAGAAAAUUUGCCGUUACAACACAUUUCUACUCCCCAAAGGCUUUUUCUUUUAUAAGAAAACAAUUCAUGGACUGUCUUCCACACCCAAAAACUUUGUCUGUAUGGUAUU